CAAAGUGACUCGCCAUUUGCCCCCCCCCUUACCCAGCUGGGUACUAUCCUAGAGCAGCUGAAAGCGCAGUACCUCGCUCUCAGGUUACAGCGGCAGUCUCUCGGUCCCUGGGGGGGGGGAGUUCGAGCCCGCAGCCUUCUGGUGAAGAAGAGCGCAGAGCCCCGGCCUCUGCUCUCUGCUCUCUGGGGACUUCCUCCUUCUUUGCCCUGAGACGAGAGAAGAGUGAAGAGACGGAGAGGCCUUGACCAGAACAGGGGGGGCUCCGGCUCCCGAGGAGAGGACGGGGUGACCCCACCGUGCUGCUCGGGCUGAGGCGUGACCCCACUGCUGAGCGACGGCGUGGGGGGGGCUUCGGAUCUGCUCCACGUCCGACCUGGGCCGGUUCACCCCUCCCCCGGGGACCCCGGGGGCACCCAGCUUCCCCAGGCUCGUACUGAGGUCACGCCCGAUCGGUGUGCGAGACUCCCGGGAGCCCCGAAAUGCAGCCUGCGAGGAGGGUGGGCCACAAGUGGGUGGUGGUGGUGGGGUGGGGGGGGGUUAGGCGCUGAAAGAUCUUGACAGUGAGAGUCAGGAACAGCGAGCCUGUCUCCCAAUAAUGCUCCAUCUGUCUACAGUAUAUGUCAAUAUUUUAUAACAUGUCUCUGUGGUAAAGGUCUGGAAUAUGUCUGUAGAUUUUAUAUUAUUGUGAUUUUUUUUGUUUCGUUUCAUGUGAAUUUCAUUAUUUUACGUGCUUUGGCAACACCGAUUGGACCCAUCGGUCAGGCUAAUAAAGCCCCUCGAAUUGAACUGAAUUGAAUUGACAGAGCGAGAGAGAGAGCAAAAAUUCACGAGAGAGAGAGAGAGCGAGAGAGAGAGACGGGGCGAUGUGGAGACAGAGAAGCGGGCGCCGAUGGCUCUCGAAGUUGUGUCAGGAAGUGACAGCGCGCAGCAGCAGAACCGCAGGGCCGCAGGGAGAAGGAGAGAGAGGGAGAGAGGGACAGUGCAGGAGAGAGAGAGAGAGAUGGAUACUGAGAUACAGCCAGUGCAGGAGAGAGAGGAGAGAGAGAGAUGGAUACAGAGAUACAGCCAGUGCAGGAGAGAGAGAGA
This 1086-nucleotide long non-coding RNA is filed under the name Lepisosteus oculatus (spotted gar). RNAcentral's name for it is "lncRNA (ENSLOCG00000021628.1)". The record is from RNAcentral. Lineage: Eukaryota; Metazoa; Chordata; Actinopteri; Semionotiformes; Lepisosteidae.